Molecule: ribosomal RNA, 392 nt
Filed under: uncultured bacterium
Lineage: Bacteria
Description: partial 16S ribosomal RNA
Rfam family: Bacterial small subunit ribosomal RNA
Source: RNAcentral
AUACGGAGGAUCCGAGCGUUAUCCGGAUUUAUUGGGUUUAAAGGGUGCGCAGGCGGCCAUUUAAGUCAGCGGUUAAAUCGUGGGGCUCAACCCCAUUCUGCCGUUGAUACUGGGUGGCUUGAUUGCGGUCGAGGUUGGCGGAAUUCGUUGUGUAGCGGGGAAAUGCAUAGAUAUGACGAAGAACACCGAUUGCGUAGGCAGCUGACCAGACCGCAAAUGACGCUCACGCACGAAAGUGCGGGGAUCGAACAGGAUUAGAUACCCUGGUAGUCCGCACAGUAAACGAUGAAUACUUGUUUUCGGCGAUAUAAUGUCGGAGGCAAAGCGAAAGCGAUAAGAAUUCCACCUGGGGAGUACGCCGGCAACGGUGAAACUCAAAUGAAUUGGCGGGG